AUACGGAGGGUGCAAGCGUUAUCCGGAUUUACUGGGUUUAAAGGGUGCGUAGGUGGGUCUGUAAGUCAGUGGUGAAAUCUCCGAGCUUAACUCGGAAACUGCCAUUGAUACUAUAGGUCUUGAAUUAUCUGGAGGUAAGCGGAAUAUGUCAUGUAGCGGUGAAAUGCUUAGAUAUGACAUAGAACACCAAUUGCGAAGGCAGCUUACUACGGAUACAUUGACACUGAGGCACGAAAGCGUGGGGAUCAAACAGGAUUAGAUACCCUGGUAGUCCACGCCCUAAACGAUGGAUACUCGACAUACGCGAUACACUGUGUGUGUCUGAGCGAAAGCAUUAAGUAUCCCACCUGGGAAGUACGAUCGCAAGAUUGAA
This 373-nucleotide ribosomal RNA is filed under the name uncultured bacterium. RNAcentral's name for it is "bacterial SSU rRNA". It matches the Rfam family "Bacterial small subunit ribosomal RNA", at positions 523 to 898 of the family's 1533-position model. The record is from RNAcentral.